UACGUAGGCGGAAGAUUAAGUCAGUGGUGAAAUCCUGCAGCUUAACUGUAGAACUGUCAUUGAUACUGGUUUUCUCGAAUUUAGUUGAGGUAGGCGGAAUGUGUAAUGUAGCGGUGAAAUGCUUAGAUAUUACACAGAACACCGAUUGCGAAGGCAGCUUACUAAACUAUGAUUGACGCUGAGGUACGAAAGCGUGGGGAGCGAACAGGAUUAGAUACCCUGGUAGUCC
RNAcentral lists this ribosomal RNA (229 nucleotides) under uncultured bacterium. Its description in RNAcentral is "partial 16S ribosomal RNA". It matches the Rfam family "Bacterial small subunit ribosomal RNA", at positions 568 to 796 of the family's 1533-position model. The record is from RNAcentral.